This 433-nucleotide ribosomal RNA is filed under the name uncultured bacterium. Its description in RNAcentral is "partial 16S ribosomal RNA". It matches the Rfam family "Bacterial small subunit ribosomal RNA", at positions 29 to 507 of the family's 1533-position model. The record is from RNAcentral.
AACGAACGCUGGCGGCAUGCCUAACACAUGCAAGUCGAACGAGACCUUCGGGCCUAGUGGCGCACGGGUGCGUAACGCGUGGGAACCUGCCCUUAGGUUCGGAAUAACUCCCCGAAAGGGGUGCUAAUACCGGAUAAUGUCUUCGGACCAAAGAUUUAUCGCCUUUGGAUGGGCCCGCGUUGGAUUAGCUAGUUGGUAGGGUAAAAGCCUACCAAGGCGACGAUCCAUAGCUGGUCUGAGAGGAUGAUCAGCCACACUGGGACUGAGACACGGCCCAGACUCCUACGGGAAGCAGCAGUGGGGAGUAUUGGACAAUGGGCGAAAGCCUGAUCCAGCAAUGCCGCGUGAGUGAUGAAGGCCUUAGGGUUGUAAAGCUCUUUUACCCGGGAUGAUAAUGACAGUACCGGGAGAAUAAGCUCCGGCUAACUCCGUG